This 431-nucleotide ribosomal RNA is filed under the name uncultured bacterium. RNAcentral's name for it is "partial 16S ribosomal RNA". It matches the Rfam family "Bacterial small subunit ribosomal RNA", at positions 338 to 795 of the family's 1533-position model. The record is from RNAcentral.
CCUACGGGUGGCUGCAGUAAGGAAUCUUCCACAAUGGACGAAAGUCUGAUGGAGCAACACCGCGUGCAGGAUGACGGUCUUCGGAUUGUAAACUGCUUUUAUAUGGGAAGCGGUACCAUAUGAAUAAGGACCGGCUAACUACGUGCCAGCAGCCGCGGUAAUACGUAGGGUCCAAGCGUUAUCCGGAAUCACUGGGCGUAAAGCGUCCGCAGCCGGGAGUUUAAGUGAGAUGUUAAAUCGUGGGGCUCAACCCCGUCGAUGUAUCUCAUACUGGACACCUAGAGGAAAUCAGAGGCAAGUGGAAUUGGUAGUGUAGCAGUGAAAUGCGUAGAUAUUACCAGGAACACCAAUGGCGAAGGCAGCUUGCUGGAUUUUCUGACGGUCAGGGACGAAAGCGUGGGGAGCGAACAGGAUUAGAUACCCUUGUAGUC